UUCCAGAGUCUAAGGCUCCUUCCUGUGGUGGCAGCAGGGAGUAGAGCCAGAGGACCUGGGCACCUAGACAACCCACUG
Molecule: microRNA precursor, 78 nt
Filed under: Chinchilla lanigera (long-tailed chinchilla)
Lineage: Eukaryota; Metazoa; Chordata; Mammalia; Rodentia; Chinchillidae
Description: miRNA (ENSCLAG00000018139.1)
Source: RNAcentral